GACAGAGGGUGCAAACGUUGUUCGGAAUUACUGGGCGUAAAGCGCGUGUAGGCGGCCCUGCAAGUCGGAUGUGAAAUCCCACGGCUCAACCGUGGAAGUGCAUUCGAAACUGCAGGGCUAGAGUCCUGGAGAGGAAGGUGGAAUGCUUGGUGUAGAGGUGAAAUUCGUAGAUAUCAAGCGGAACACCGGUGGCGAAGGCGGCCUUCUGGACAGUGACUGACGCUGAGACGCGAAAGCGUGGGUAGCAAACAGG
This 253-nucleotide ribosomal RNA is filed under the name uncultured bacterium. Its description in RNAcentral is "partial 16S ribosomal RNA". It matches the Rfam family "Bacterial small subunit ribosomal RNA", at positions 524 to 776 of the family's 1533-position model. The record is from RNAcentral.